CCUACGGGAGGCAGCAGUGAGGAAUAUUGGUCAAUGGACGCAAGUCUGAACCAGCCAUGCCGCGUGCAGGAAGACGGCUCUAUGAGUUGUAAACUGCUUUUGUAUGAGGGUAAACUGAGAUACGCGUAUCUGUCUGAAAGUAUCUUACGAAUAAGGAUCGGCUAACUCCGUGCCAGCAGCCGCGGUAAUACGGAGGAUUCAAGCGUUAUCCGGAUUUAUUGGGUUUAAAGGGAGCGUAGGCGGGUGGUUAAGUCAGUGGUGAAAGCUCGCGGCUCAACUUCAGAAUUGCCUCUGAUACUGGUCGGCUAGAGAAUAGUUGCGGUAGGCGGAAUGUGUGGUGUAGCGGUGAAAUGCUUAGAGAUCAUACAGAACACCGAUUGCGAAGGCAGCUUACCAAGCUACAUCUGACGUUGAGGCACGAAAGCGUGGGGAGCAAACAGGAUUAGAUACCCCGGUAGUC
RNAcentral lists this ribosomal RNA (460 nucleotides) under uncultured bacterium. RNAcentral's name for it is "partial 16S ribosomal RNA". It matches the Rfam family "Bacterial small subunit ribosomal RNA", at positions 338 to 795 of the family's 1533-position model. The record is from RNAcentral.